CUCCCCUCGGGGGGCAGCAGUAGGGAAUUUUCGUCAAUGGGCGCAAGCCCGAACCAGCAAUGCCGCGUGAACGAGGAAGGUCUUCGGAUCGUAAAGUUCUGUUGAAGGGGAAAAAGAGCGGAGAGAGGAAAUGCUUUCUGAUUGAUAUUACCCUUCGAGGAAGUCACGGCUAACUACGUGCCAGCAGCCGCGGUAAUACGUAGGUGGCGAGCGUUAUCCGGAAUGAUUGGGCGUAAAGGGUGCGUAGGCGGCCUGCUAAGUCUGGAGUGAAAGGUACCGGCUCAACCGGUACAGGCUCUGGAAAC
Molecule: ribosomal RNA, 305 nt
Filed under: uncultured bacterium
Lineage: Bacteria
Description: bacterial SSU rRNA
Rfam family: Bacterial small subunit ribosomal RNA
Source: RNAcentral